This is a long non-coding RNA of Ailuropoda melanoleuca (giant panda), 628 nucleotides long. RefSeq lists it as uncharacterized. NCBI's taxonomy places the organism in Eukaryota, Metazoa, Chordata, Mammalia, Carnivora, Ursidae. The record is from RefSeq and is a predicted model, not a curated record. The transcript has 3 exons.
CUUCCUCCUCCCCGUACCUAUUCCUCCCCUCACCCCUCCCCCUCCUCCUGAUUUCUCCAUCUCAGUUAAGGGCAUCUUUACCCUCCUAACCACCCAAACUAAGACCUUUGGUUUCCGUCCCCUCCCUUUCAACCCAGACAGCCUAAAUGUCGCCAAAACCAAAAUAGGCUCUCACUCUGGUCCUUUUCUCCACCCAGAUUGCUCCUGUCUGACUGUGCCUCCCUCUGGCACAGUCCUCCCCAGUCCCCGGCCUUUCCUAUCAUCCUUGAUGCUCUGACAACGCAGUGUUCAUUCCGGUUGAGAGGCAGCCCCAGACAGUGGCAAGUGCACAGGCCGUGGCGGCACAAGUCCUGGGUUCUGAUUCGACUGUCCCUGGGAGACCCUGAGCAGGAGAGAGGUUUCUCCAGGCCUCGUUUGCUCCUCCUCUGGGGGGAGCCAGCACGAUAAUACACGGUGCUCCAGCCCCUCUGCGGAAACUUAGGUCUGGAUACAUUUGAAGUGGACAUUCUCUCCCACAAACCCACACCAGAUAAAUUGUCCAGGAUCUUUCCCCACUUUGUGUUUUGCAAGAUGGUGAGAAAGGCAGUUUUCUGCACUUAAAGAAUGGUGAUGUUUGCCACCUGUAAGU